RNAcentral lists this ribosomal RNA (351 nucleotides) under uncultured bacterium. Its description in RNAcentral is "bacterial SSU rRNA". It matches the Rfam family "Bacterial small subunit ribosomal RNA", at positions 22 to 356 of the family's 1533-position model. The record is from RNAcentral.
GCUCAGGACGAACGCUGGCGGCGUGCCUAACACAUGCAAGUCGAACGGAGAAUUUUAUUUCGGUAGAAUUCUUAGUGGCGAACGGGUGAGUAACGCGUAGGCAACCUGCCCUUUAGACGGGGACAACAUUCCGAAAGGAGUGCUAAUACCGGAUGUGAUCAUCUUGCCGCAUGGCAGGAUGAAGAAAGAUGGCCUCUACAAGUAAGCUAUCGCUAAAGGAUGGGCCUGCGUCUGAUUAGCUAGUUGGUAGUGUAACGGACUACCAAGGCGAUGAUCAGUAGCCGGUCUGAGAGGAUGAACGGCCACAUUGGGACUGAGACACGGCCCAAACUCCUACGGGAGGCAGCAGUA